Molecule: ribosomal RNA, 235 nt
Filed under: uncultured bacterium
Lineage: Bacteria
Description: partial 16S ribosomal RNA
Rfam family: Bacterial small subunit ribosomal RNA
Source: RNAcentral
CGGCACGGGUGAGUAACACGUAUCCAACCUGCCGUCUACUCUUGACAGCCUUCUGAAAGGAAGAUUAAUACAAGAUGGCAUCAUGAGUCCGCAUGUUCACAUGAUUAAAGGUAUUCCGGUAGACGAUGGGGAUGCGUUCCAUUAGAUAGUAGGCGGGGUAACGGCCCACCUAGUCUUCGAUGGAUAGGGGUUCUGAGAGGAAGGUCCCCCACAUUGGAACUGAGACACGGUCCAA